GAGUUUGAUCAUGGCUCAGAACGAACGCUGGCGGCAGGCUUAACACAUGCAAGUCGAACGGGUGUAGCAAUACAUCAGUGGCAGACGGGUGAGUAACACGUGGGAACCUUCCUCGUAGUACGGAACAACUCAGGGAAACUUGUGCUAAUACCGUAUACGUCCGAGAGGAGAAAGAUUUAUCGCUAUGAGACGGGCCCGCGUCGGAUUAGGUAGUUGGUGGGGUAACGGCCUACCAAGCCGACGAUCCGUAGCUGAUCUGAGAGGAUGAUCAGCCACACUGGGACUGAGACACGGCCCAGACUCCUACGGGAGGCAGCAGUGGGGAAUCUUGGACAAUGGGCGCAAGCCUGAUCCAGCCAUGCCGCGUGAGUGAAGAAGGCCUUAGGGUUGUAAAGCUCUUUUGGCAGGGACGAUAAUGACGGUACCUGCAGAAUAAGCCCCGGCAAACUUCGUGCCAGCCGCCGCCGU
RNAcentral lists this ribosomal RNA (468 nucleotides) under uncultured Alphaproteobacteria bacterium. RNAcentral describes it as "bacterial SSU rRNA". It matches the Rfam family "Bacterial small subunit ribosomal RNA", at positions 9 to 521 of the family's 1533-position model. Lineage: Bacteria; Pseudomonadati; Pseudomonadota; Alphaproteobacteria. The record is from RNAcentral.